This 495-nucleotide ribosomal RNA is filed under the name uncultured bacterium. RNAcentral's name for it is "partial 16S ribosomal RNA". It matches the Rfam family "Bacterial small subunit ribosomal RNA", at positions 28 to 507 of the family's 1533-position model. The record is from RNAcentral.
GACGAACGCUGGCGGCGUGCCUAAUACAUGCGAGUAGAACGCUGAAGGAGGAGCUUGCUUCUCUGGAUGAGUUGCGAACGGGUGAGUAACGCGUAGGUAACCUGCCUGGUAGCGGGGGAUAACUAUUGGAAACGAUAGCUAAUACCGUAUAAGAGUAGAUGUUGCAUGACAUUUGCUUAAAAGGUGCAAUUGCAUCACUACCAGAUGGACCUGCGUUGUAUUAGCUAGUUGGUGGGGUAACGGCUUACCAAGGCGACGAUACAUAGCCGACCUGAGAGGGUGAUCGGCCACACUGGGACUGAGACACGGCCCAGACUCCUACGGGAGGCAGCAGUAGGGAAUCUUCGGCAAUGGACGGAAGUCUGACCGAGCAACGCCGCGUGAGUGAAGAAGGUUGUCGGAUCGUAAAGCUCUGUUGUAAGAGAAGAACGAGUGUGAGAGUGGAAAGUUCACACUGUGACGGUAUCUUACCAGAAAGGGACGGCUAACUACGUG